GAUGAACGCUGGCGGCGUGCCUAAUACAUGCAAGUCGAGCGAAUGGAUUAAGAGCUUGCUCUUAUGAAGUUAGCGGCGGACGGGUGAGUAACACGUGGGUAACCUGCCCAUAAGACUGGGAUAACUCCGGGAAACCGGGGCUAAUACCGGAUAACAUUUUGAACCGCAUGGUUCGAAAUUGAAAGGCGGCUUCGGCUGUCACUUAUGGAUGGACCCGCGUCGCAUUAGCUAGUUGGUGAGGUAACGGCUCACCAAGGCAACGAUGCGUAGCCAACAUGAGAGGGUGAUCGGCCACACUGGGACUGAGACACGGCCCAGACGCCUACGGGAGGCAGCAGUAGGGAAUCUUCCGCAAUGGACGAAAGUCUGACGGAGCAACGCCGCGUGAGUGAUGAAGGCUUUCGGGUCGUAAAACUCUGUUGUUAGGGAAGAACAAGUGCUAGUUGAAUAAGCUGGCACCUUGACGGUACCUAACCAGAAAGCCACGGCUAACUACGUGCCAGCAGCCGCCGUAA
RNAcentral lists this ribosomal RNA (515 nucleotides) under uncultured bacterium. RNAcentral's name for it is "partial 16S ribosomal RNA". It matches the Rfam family "Bacterial small subunit ribosomal RNA", at positions 28 to 523 of the family's 1533-position model. The record is from RNAcentral.